CUUCAUCCUCGGUAACGCAGCGGCUGAAGAGGAUUACGCUGCUGCCACAGAAACUUAGAGGGGUGGGGAGUCUAGAGGAGAAAGGGACUGCGAGGCGAUUACAUCAGAACACACGGACGAUCUUCGCCUACCCAGCAGACACAAGAGACACCAGUUUUUUGAGGUGACACGGAUUCCUAAAGAAGUCCUCCUAGUCUGCAGCGAUGAUGCACCCUUUGGUCAUCGGCAUUGUGGCCGUGAACACCUCUCUGACCAUCAUCUACUGGGCCUUCAUGCUGAGUGAUGCUUACUUCAGGUGGCUCACGGAGCCAGAAGACAAACCCAAGAAGCUGGUCACCCCAGCCUGAAAGAGCCACAGUCAAUAUGGACUGACUUCAUUAUUGGGUUACUAUUUUGCGUAGUGAGCAUCAGCCGUCCAGCUUCUAGUGCUUUCUGGGGCGUCUGAUUUAGCAACUGAUCGGCUCUCUUUUUCACUUUGAGGGGACACUGAAACUAACUUCCAUUUUUUUUUUUACUCAACUGAAUGGAUCCUGCAAUCGAAAGAGAAAAACUGUCUUACAGAGCCGUUUGUGUACGACAUGCCACGCCAACUUGGAAGUCCUUUCAUUUACAAAGAAAAAAUCUAUGGAGCAG
This is a long non-coding RNA of Gasterosteus aculeatus aculeatus (three-spined stickleback), 633 nucleotides long. Lineage: Eukaryota; Metazoa; Chordata; Actinopteri; Perciformes; Gasterosteidae. The record is from Ensembl.